RNAcentral lists this long non-coding RNA (770 nucleotides) under Vigna radiata. Its description in RNAcentral is "long non-coding RNA (VRAD_LNC014199)". The record is from RNAcentral. Lineage: Eukaryota; Viridiplantae; Streptophyta; Magnoliopsida; Fabales; Fabaceae.
AUUAUGCAUUUAGUAUUUUAACUUAGUGUUGCACUUUAAUAAUUUUAAUUGUGUUAGAUAAUUGUUUGUUGCAAUGUUGGGCUUAGCAUUUUAUUUUACUUUAAUGUUUUCAAUUAUAUUCGGUCGUGUUUAAUUUUUGCUUUUAAUUUCGUCAAUUACAUUCACAAAAUAUUUCAAAACCCCCCCACUGUGUUAGACCUGAUUCUGAACCGCAGUUGGUCCUUGGGAGACGACCUAGGGGUCAUUCCCUAGCUAUACUGCAUUUCUCAUAUGCAUUUCUCAUACUGCAUUUCUUUGAAGAUCCAUCCGCCACCACCACAGAAAGAUUAGAUGGUUUUAAUGUUAGCCCACCAACCUUUUUCAGUAAAGAUAAGGGCAUCAAGUUAAUACCAGACCCAGAAUCUAUCAAACCUCUCCUUACAUCAACAUCUCCCUGGAUCUAUAACUUCUCCAAGAUAGUACUUUAUUCUUUUGCAAUAAACAAGAAGUUGAUGAAGUACUUCAGUUGAAGGCAUAAUCUUUAUUUGGUAAAAAAUCUCUCUAGAAUGCCCACAAUUUCUUUCUUUUCUUUCUUCCCCACUCUCAUUUUCUCUUUCUUCUUCUUUUUCAAAAUCUUUUUCUCUCCUCUCCUCCUUUUCAUCCUCACUACUCUCCAACUCAAUAAUCUCUUUUUCCACUCCUCUCUCAUCUAUGCUCACCACAACUUUGUACUCUUCUUUAGGGUUGACAUCAGUGUUAGCCCUAAAUUGAUUCUUUUUCGUGGCUUCCAC